UUGUAGCCUGCUAUGGUAUAACUUAGUGGCAGACGGGUGAGUAAUAUAUAGGAAUCUACCUAGUAGUACGGAAUAAUUGUUGGAAACGGCAACUAAUACCGUAUACGCCCUACGGGGGAAAAAUUUAUUGCUAUUAGAUGAGCCUAUAUUAGAUUAGCUAGUUGGUGGAGUAAUGGCCUACCAAGGCAAUGAUCUAUAGCUGAUCUGAGAGGAUGAUCAGUCACACUGGAACUGAGAUACGGUCCAGACUCCUACGGGAGGCAGCAGUGGGGAAUAUUGGACAAUGGGCGAAAGCCUGAUCCAGCCAUGCCGCAUGAGUGAAGAAGGCCUUUGGGUUGUAAAGCUCUUUUAGUGAGGAAGAUAAUGACGGUACUCACAGAAGAAGUCCUGGCUAACUCCGUGCCAGCAGCCGCGGUAAUACGGAGAGGGCUAGCGUUAUUCGGAGUUAUUGGGCGUAAAGGGCGCGUAGGCUGGUUAGUAAGUUAAAAGUGAAAUCCCGAGGCUUAACCUUGGAACUGCUUUUAAAACUGCUAACCUAGAGAUUGAAAGAGGAUAGAGGAAUUCCUAGUGUAGAGGUGAAAUUCGUAAAUAUUAGGAGGAACACCAGUGGCGAAGGCGUCUAUCUGGUUCAAAUCUGACGCUGAGGCGCGAAGGCGUGGGGAGCAAACAGGAUUAGAUACCCUGGUAGUCCACGCUGUAAACGAUGAAUGUUAAAUAUGGGAAGUUUACUUUCUGUAUUACAGCUAACGCGUUAAACAUUCCGCCUGGGGACUACGGUCGCAAGAUUAAAACUCAAAGGAAUUGACGGGGACCCGCACAAGCGGUGGAGCAUGUGGUUUAAUUCGAUGCAACGCGAAAAACCUUACCACUCCUUGACAUGAAAAUCAUACCUAUUC
Molecule: ribosomal RNA, 896 nt
Filed under: Wolbachia endosymbiont of Formica cinerea
Lineage: Bacteria; Pseudomonadati; Pseudomonadota; Alphaproteobacteria; Rickettsiales; Anaplasmataceae
Description: bacterial SSU rRNA
Rfam family: Bacterial small subunit ribosomal RNA
Source: RNAcentral